UAUGUGAUCGUCUCUCGCAUAUCAAUAAGCGGAGGAAAAGAAACUAACAAGGAUUCCCCUAGUAACGGCGAGUGAAGCGGGAAGAGCUCAAAUUUGAAAUCUUAAAGGGUUUCCCUUUACGAAUUGUAGUUUAAAGAAGUGUUUUCUGUUGAGGUUUUGGUAAAAGUUCUUUGGAAUAGGACAUCAUAGAGGGUGAGAAUCCCGUAUUUGACCUUUACUUUCAACUUUGUGAUACACUUUCAAAGAGUCAGAUUGUUUGGGAAUGCAGUCCAAAAUGGGUGGUAAAUUUCAUCUAAAGCUAAAUAUUGGCGAGAGACCGAUAGCGGACAAGUACCGUGAGGGAAAGAUGAAAAGAACUUUGAAAAGAGAGUUAAACAGUACGUGAAAUUGUCAAAAGGGAAGCGUUUGACACCAGUGUUGUUUUUCUGAAAAUCAAUUAAAGAACUGUUUAUGCUAAGUUGUUUAGACUUUAUCAGCUAACUGUUUAGUUUUGAGCUUUUCUUUAAUGCACUUUUCAGUUAACAAGUCAACAUCAAUUUCUUUUGCUGUAAAAAAGCUUGAGGAAGGUGGCUUGAGAUUCGUCUUAAGUGUUUAUAGCCUCUUGCCUAUGCAGUCGGAGAGAUUGAGGUCUGCAGCGUAGAUCCUUCGGGGCUAAAUGCAUUUGUGCUAAGUUAUAGCAUUUUAUAGACAACUUGUUGACUAUGAUUUGUCUUGUAGCUUACUCGCUUAUGUUAUUUUACCUACGCUUAGGAUGUUGAUCUCUCACAGUCGAGC
RNAcentral lists this ribosomal RNA (774 nucleotides) under uncultured Neocallimastigales. RNAcentral's name for it is "partial large subunit ribosomal RNA". It matches the Rfam family "Eukaryotic large subunit ribosomal RNA", at positions 24 to 645 of the family's 3401-position model. The record is from RNAcentral. Lineage: Eukaryota; Fungi; Neocallimastigomycota; Neocallimastigomycetes; Neocallimastigales.